Molecule: ribosomal RNA, 521 nt
Filed under: uncultured bacterium
Lineage: Bacteria
Description: bacterial SSU rRNA
Rfam family: Bacterial small subunit ribosomal RNA
Source: RNAcentral
AGAGAAUAGAUACCCCGGUAGUCCACGCCGUAAACGAUGAACACUGGGUGUGGGUGGAGUGAAAUCCAUCUGUGCCGAAAGCCAACGCGCUAAGUGUUCCGCCUGGGGAGUACGGCCGCAAGGCUAAAACUCAAAGGAAUUGACGGGGGCCUGCACAAGCAGCGGAGCGUGUGGUUUAAUUCGAUGCGACGCGAAGAACCUUACCCAGGAUUGACAUCCACGUAGUAGUGAAGCGAAAGCGGAACGACCCUUCGGGGAGCGUGGACAGGUGCUGCAUGGCUGUCGUCAGCUCGUGUCGUGAGAUGUUGGGUUAAGUCCCGCAACGAGCGCAACCCUUGUCGCUAGUUACAAGUGUCUAGCGAGACUGCCGAUAUCAAGUUGGAGGAAGGUGGGGAUGACGUCAAGUCAGCAUGGCCUUUAUAUCUGGGGCGACACACACGCUACAAUGGGCGGUACAAUGGGCAGCGAAAGGGCGACCUGGAGCGAAUCCUAUCAAAGCCGUUCGUAGUUCGGAUUGCAGG